RNAcentral lists this long non-coding RNA (227 nucleotides) under Carica papaya (papaya). RNAcentral's name for it is "long non-coding RNA (CPAP_LNC004620)". Lineage: Eukaryota; Viridiplantae; Streptophyta; Magnoliopsida; Brassicales; Caricaceae. The record is from RNAcentral.
UUAGUGAAGCUGGAACCACUUACACCAUGAUUGUCUCAAUUUUCCAUUUAUUUUUAUGUACUGCCCUAUUUGCUUAUUAUUAUAUGGUGCAUGUUCUUAAAUUAUAUUUUCUAUAACCUUAUCAAUUUAUCUUAUUUAUUCAGUUAUAUACUGUCAGCAUGAAUAUAGUUUAAUUAAUAUGUAAUUGUAAUAUGAGAUAUUGAUGUGCAUAGUUGGUUAUUUUGUUA